GGGGUUGUGGCUCGGAGGUAGAGCGCUCGCCUAGCAUGUGUGAAGCACUGGGUUCGAUCCUCAGCACCACA
This 71-nucleotide transfer RNA is filed under the name Marmota monax (woodchuck). Its description in RNAcentral is "tRNA.Ala". The record is from RNAcentral. Lineage: Eukaryota; Metazoa; Chordata; Mammalia; Rodentia; Sciuridae.